Molecule: ribosomal RNA, 458 nt
Filed under: uncultured bacterium
Lineage: Bacteria
Description: partial 16S ribosomal RNA
Rfam family: Bacterial small subunit ribosomal RNA
Source: RNAcentral
CCUACGGGAGACAGCAGUGAGGAAUAUUGGUCAAUGGGCGAGAGCCUGAACCAGCCAAGUCGCGUGAGGGAGUACUGCCCUAUGGGUUGUAAACCUCUUUUGUCGGGGAGCAAAAGCCGGACGUGUCCGGCUGUGAGAGUACCCGAAGAAAAAGCAUCGGCUAACUCCGUGCCAGCAGCCGCGGUAAUACGGAGGAUGCGAGCGUUAUCCGGAUUUAUUGGGGUUAAAGGGUGCGCAGGCGGAUUUUUAAGUCAGCGGUCAAAUCGUGGGGCUCAACCCCAUCCAGCCGUUGAAACUGGGGAUCUAGAGUGUGCGAGAGGUAUGCGGAAUGCGUGGUGUAGCGGUGAAAUGCAUAGAUAUCACGCAGAACCCCGAUUGCGAAGGCAGCAUACCGGUGCACAACUGACGCUCAGGCACGAAAGCGUGGGUAUCGAACAGGAUUAGAUACCCGGGUAGUC